RNAcentral lists this ribosomal RNA (346 nucleotides) under uncultured bacterium. RNAcentral describes it as "partial 16S ribosomal RNA". It matches the Rfam family "Bacterial small subunit ribosomal RNA", at positions 338 to 681 of the family's 1533-position model. The record is from RNAcentral.
CCUACGGGAGGCAGCAGUGAGGAAUAUUGGUCAAUGGGCGAGAGCCUGAACCAGCCAAGUCGCGUGAAGGAUGACGGCCCUACGGGUUGUAAACUUCGUUUGUCAGGGAGCAAGUGGGUCCACGCGUGGGCUUAGCGAGAGGACCUGAAGAAAAAGCAGCGGCUAACUCCGUGCCAGCAGCCGCGGUAAUACGGAGGAUGCGAGCGUUAUCCGGGUUGAUUGGGUGUAAAGGGUGCGUAGGCGGAAUAUCAAGUCAGCGGUAAAAAUUCGGGGCUCAACCCCGUCGUGCCGUUGAAACUGCUGUUCUUGCGUGGGCGAGACGUAUGCGUACUGCGUGUUGUCGCGG